Molecule: small RNA, 133 nt
Filed under: Escherichia coli
Lineage: Bacteria; Pseudomonadati; Pseudomonadota; Gammaproteobacteria; Enterobacterales; Enterobacteriaceae
Also listed under: 1 other name
Description: RtT sRNA
Rfam family: RtT RNA
About the family: This family represents a bacterial cis-regulatory element known as RtT RNA. The exact function of RtT is unknown although it is thought that it may be involved in changing the cellular response in relation to amino acid starvation.
Source: RNAcentral
UGCAUCUGCAGCCCAUGAGGAAGAGAACCUCCGGGGGCAGGGAGGUUCGACUCGAGCGAAGCGAGAGAACGUUGCGCCAGCAACGGCCCGCAGGGCGAGCCACGAAGUGGCGAGUAAUCCUCUAUCACCGACC